This 301-nucleotide ribosomal RNA is filed under the name uncultured bacterium. Its description in RNAcentral is "partial 16S ribosomal RNA". It matches the Rfam family "Bacterial small subunit ribosomal RNA", at positions 509 to 807 of the family's 1533-position model. The record is from RNAcentral.
CAGUAGCCGCGGGAAUACGUAGGUGGCAAGCGUUGUCCGGAAUUAUUGGGCGUAAAGGGCUCGCAGGCGGUUUCUUAAGUCUGAUGUGAAAGCCCCCGGCUCAACCGGGGAGGGUCAUUGGAAACUGGGAGACUUGAGUGCAGAAGAGGAGAGUGGAAUUCCACGUGUAGCGGUGAAAUGCGUAGAGAUGUGGAGGAACACCAGUGGCGAAGGCGACUCUCUGGUCUGUAACUGACGCUGAGGAGCGAAAGCGUGGGGAGCGAACAGGAUUAGAUACCCCCGUAGUCCCUGUCUCUUAUAC